This 495-nucleotide ribosomal RNA is filed under the name uncultured bacterium. RNAcentral describes it as "partial 16S ribosomal RNA". It matches the Rfam family "Bacterial small subunit ribosomal RNA", at positions 28 to 507 of the family's 1533-position model. The record is from RNAcentral.
GACGAACGCUGGCGGCGUGCCUAAUACAUGCAAGUAGAACGCUGAAGGAGGAGCUUGCUCUUCUGGAUGAGUUGCGAACGGGUGAGUAACGCGUAGGUAACCUGCCUGGUAGCGGGGGAUAACUAUUGGAAACGAUAGCUAAUACCGCAUAACAGUAGAUGUUGCAUGACAUUUACUUAAAAGGUGCAAUUGCAUCACUACCAGAUGGACCUGCGUUGUAUUAGCUAGUUGGUGGGGUAACGGCUCACCAAGGCGACGAUACAUAGCCGACCUGAGAGGGGGAUCGGCCACACUGGGACUGUGACACGGCCCAUACUCCUACGGGAGGCAGCAGUAGGGAAUCUUCGGCAAUGGACGGAAGUCUGACCGAGCAACGCCGCGUGAGUGAAGAAGGUUUUCGGAUCGUAAAGCUCUGUUGUAAGAGAAGAACGAGUGUGAGAGUGGAAAGUUCACACUGUGACGGUAUCUUACCAGAAAGGGACGGCUAACUACGUG